UCGGCCAUGUCCGGUCCUCCAGGGUGGGGGCUGGGACCCCCCAUUCUGCCCGUUCCGCACGGGUGGCCGGGC
RNAcentral lists this transfer RNA (72 nucleotides) under Actinomadura sp. NBRC 104425. RNAcentral's name for it is "tRNA-Pro". Lineage: Bacteria; Bacillati; Actinomycetota; Actinomycetes; Streptosporangiales; Thermomonosporaceae. The record is from RNAcentral.